UAGGGAAUCUUCCGCAAUGGACGCAAGUCUGACGGAGCAACGCCGCGUGAGUGAAGAAGGUUUUCGGAUCGUAAAACUCUGUUGUUAGAGAAGAACAAGUGCUAGAGUAACUGUUAGCGCCUUGACGGUAUCUAACCAGAAAGCCACGGCUAACUACGUGCCAGCAGCCGCGGUAAUACGUAGGUGGCAAGCGUUGUCCGGAUUUAUUGGGCGUAAAGCGAGCGCAGGCGGUUCCUUAAGUCUGAUGUGAAAGCCCCCGGCUCAACCGGGGAGGGUCAUUGGAAACUGGGGAACUUGAGUGCAGAAGAGGAGAGUGGAAUUCCAUGUGUAGCGGUGAAAUGCGUAGAUAUAUGGAGGAACACCAGUGGCGAAGGCGACUCUCUGGUCUGUAACUGACGCUGAGGCUCGAAAGCGUGGGUAGCAAACAGGAUUAGAUACCCUGGUAGUCCACGCCGUAAACGAUGAGUGCUAGGUGUUGGAUCCUUUCCGGGAUUCAGUGCCGCAGCUAACGCAUUAAGCACUCCGCCUGGGGAGUACGACCGCAAGGUUG
Molecule: ribosomal RNA, 550 nt
Filed under: uncultured bacterium
Lineage: Bacteria
Description: bacterial SSU rRNA
Rfam family: Bacterial small subunit ribosomal RNA
Source: RNAcentral